GUGAGUCAUCGAAUCUUUGAACGCACCUUGCGCUCUCUGGUAUUCCGGAGAGCAUGCCUGUUUGAGUGUCAUGAACUCUUCAACCCACCGGUUCCUUGUUGAACCGAGUUGGUGUUUGGAUUUUGAGCUUUGCUAUUCAUUUAGCUAGCUCGUAAUAUAUUAGCAUCUUUCAAUUUCAUAAUCGGAUUGACUCAGCGUAAUAGAUCUAUUCGCUGAGGACACUUUUACUAGUGGCCGGUAAUUGGAGAUAGAGAAGCUUCCAACUCUUCUAGUCAACUUUAGAUUAGUACCUCAAAUUCAGGCAGGAUUACCCGCUGAACUUAAGCAUAUCAAUAAGCGGAGG
This 343-nucleotide ribosomal RNA is filed under the name uncultured fungus. RNAcentral describes it as "eukaryotic LSU rRNA". The stretch from base 1 to 71 matches the Rfam family "5.8S ribosomal RNA", at positions 84 to 154 of the family's 154-position model. The record is from RNAcentral. Lineage: Eukaryota; Fungi.